Molecule: long non-coding RNA, 910 nt
Filed under: Canis lupus familiaris (dog)
Lineage: Eukaryota; Metazoa; Chordata; Mammalia; Carnivora; Canidae
Description: lncRNA (ENSCAFG00000058965.1)
Source: RNAcentral
GGGGAGUGAAGACUGCCACAUUUGUGAAUGGAUAAGGCCAAUCCCACUGAAAAGCUCAUGCAUACAGGCACCCAGGAAGAAGUUGGUUAUAUUUCAAAGCAAAACAGCAUUCAGGAUUUCAGGAGGAUCCUAUACUUCUAUACUAUGAAAGACAUCAGCUGUACAAGUUCUUCUAACUGAAAUGCUACUGAUUGGAGUCUCAAUGUGGAUAUAAAAGUAAUCUAUCAGGUCCUGUCUUCUCUCCCCAUAGCUCUGGAAUCAUGAAAAUUCUAGUUGCUUGCUCAGCCUGACUCUGCUACCAAAGCCCUUUCUAAUCUUAGCCAGGGAGAAUUUAAGGUGUUUAGUACAACCUAAUGAAAAUCACUAUGACACUAUUUUUCCUGCUAGUCAUUCAUUUCUUCAUUAAAUAAUAAUUCAGAAGAGGAUUAACUGUCUGCCAAGAAUGCCAGGUGCUUUGGAUACAGACAUGACUAACACAAGUAGAGAUAUAGCAUGUGCUGACAGCAUAUAGAUAAGGUUCUGACCCAGGUUGAGAGGGGAAGAGAGAAUUUAAUGCUAAGGAAGUGGCAUAUAAGAUGAAAUCCAAAAGAUGAGAGAGAAUUAAUACUCCCAGGGGCAGAAAGAAGACCACAGCUAGGAAAGACGAGAGAGAAGAGAGAAAAAGGGAGGGAGGGAGAGAAGAAAGAAGGAAGGGAGGAAGAAAGAGAAAGAAAGGAAGGAAGAGUGUGAGGGAGGAAGGAAUGUAGAAGGAAGGAGGGAGGAAGAAAGAGAGUGCAGGGAGAAGGAGGAGAAGAAAGAAAAGAAGGAAGAAAAGCACUAUAUGCAAUAGCCCUAAGACCAGAAGGAAAUAACCCAUUCUAGAAAUCUGAGGCAGAUGGGUGUAGCUGACUCUUAUAGAACAAGUGAAAAU